Molecule: ribosomal RNA, 253 nt
Filed under: uncultured bacterium
Lineage: Bacteria
Description: partial 16S ribosomal RNA
Rfam family: Bacterial small subunit ribosomal RNA
Source: RNAcentral
UACGUAGGGUGCGAGCGUUGCCCGGAUUUAUUGGGCGUAAAGGGCGCGCAGGCGGCUACGCACGUCCGUUGUGAAAUCGCUCGGCUCAACUGGGCGGGGGCAGCGGAUACGGCGUAGCUGGAGCAAGCUAGGGGGCAAUGGAAUUCCCGGUGUAGUGGUGGAAUGCGUAGAUAUCGGGAGGAACACCAGUGGCGAAGGCGGUUGCCUGGAGCUUUGCUGACGCUGAGGCGCGAAAGCGUGGGGAGCGAUCCGG